AACGAACGCUGGCGGCAUGCCUAACACAUGCAAGUCGAACGAGACCUUCGGGUCUAGUGGCGCACGGGUGCGUAACGCGUGGGAACCUUCCCUUAGGUUCGGAAUAACUCCCCGAAAGGGGUGCUAAUACCGGAUAAUGUCUUCGGACCAAAGAUUUAUCGCCUUUGGAUGGGCCCGCGUUGGAUUAGCUAGUUGGUAGGGUAAAAGCCUACCAAGGCGACGAUCCAUAGCUGGUCUGAGAGGAUGAUCAGCCACACUGGGACUGAGACACGGCCCAGACUCCUACGGGAGGCAGCAGUGGGGAAUAUUGGACAAUGCGCGAGAGCCUGAUCCAGCAAUGCCGCGUGAGUGAUGAAGGCCUUAGGGUUGUAAAGCUCUUUUACCCGGGAUGAUAAUGACAGUACCGGGAGAAUAAGCGCCGGCUAACUCCGUG
RNAcentral lists this ribosomal RNA (433 nucleotides) under uncultured bacterium. RNAcentral's name for it is "partial 16S ribosomal RNA". It matches the Rfam family "Bacterial small subunit ribosomal RNA", at positions 29 to 507 of the family's 1533-position model. The record is from RNAcentral.